CGAGAAUCUUCGGCAAUGGGCGAAAGCCUGACCGAGCGACGCCGCGUGUGCGAUGAAGGCCUUCGGGUUGUAAAGCACUGUCGUGGGGGAGAAAGCCGCAAGGCUUGAUCGACCCCAGGAGGAAGCACGGGCUAAGUUCGUGCCAGCAGCCGCGGUAAGACGAACCGUGCGAACGUUAUUCGGAAUCACUGGGCUUAAAGGGCGCGUAGGCGGGCCGGCAAGUCCGGGGUGAAAGCCCCCAGCUCAACUGGGGAAGUGCCUCGGAUACUGCCGGCCUCGAGGGAGGUAGGGGCGUGCGGAACUUCCGGUGGAGCGGUGAAAUGCGUAGAUAUCGGAAGGAACACCGGUGGCGAAAGCGGCGCGCUGGACCUCUUCUGACGCUGAGGCGCGAAAGCCAGGGGAGCGAACGGGAUUAGAUACCCCGGUAGUCCUGGCCCUAAACGUUGGGUACUAGGUUGUGGACUUACAUGGGUUCACAGCCGAAGCAAAAGUAUUUAGUACCCCGCCUGGGGAGUAUGGUCGCAAGGCUG
This 530-nucleotide ribosomal RNA is filed under the name uncultured Planctomycetota bacterium. RNAcentral's name for it is "bacterial SSU rRNA". It matches the Rfam family "Bacterial small subunit ribosomal RNA", at positions 356 to 896 of the family's 1533-position model. The record is from RNAcentral. Lineage: Bacteria; Pseudomonadati; Planctomycetota.